Molecule: ribosomal RNA, 878 nt
Filed under: uncultured bacterium
Lineage: Bacteria
Description: bacterial SSU rRNA
Rfam family: Bacterial small subunit ribosomal RNA
Source: RNAcentral
GUAAUACGUAGGGUGCGAGCGUUAAUCGGAAUUACUGGGCGUAAAGCGUGCGCAGGCGGUUUUGUAAGUCAGAUGUGAAAUCCCCGGGCUUAACCUGGGAACUGCGUUUGAAACUGCAAGGCUAGAGUGUGGCAGAGGGGGGUGGAAUUCCGCGUGUAGCAGUGAAAUGCGUAGAGAUGUGGAGGAACACCGAUGGCGAAGGCAGCCCCCUGGGUUAACACUGACGCUCAGGCACGAAAGCAUGGGGAGCAAACAGGAUUAGAUACCCUGGUAGUCCAUGCCCUAAACGAUGUCAACUAGUUGUCGGGUCUUAACGGGCUUGGUAACGUAGCUAACGCGUGAAGUUGACCGCCUGGGGAGUACGAUCGCAAGAUUAAAACUCAAAGGAAUUGACGGGGACCCGCACAAGCGGUGGAUUAUGUGGAUUAAUUCGAUGCAACGCGAAAAACCUUACCUACCCUUGACAUGUAUUGAAACCUGCAGAGAUGUGGGUGUGCCCGAAAGGGAACGAUAACACAGGUGCUGCAUGGCUGUCGUCAGCUCGUGUCGUGAGAUGUUGGGUUAAGUCCCGCAACGAGCGCAACCCUUGUCAUUAGUUGCCAUCAUUUAGUUGGGCACUUUAAUGAGACUGCCGGUGACAAACCGGAGGAAGGUGGGGAUGACGUCAAGUCCUCAUGGCCCUUAUGGGUAGGGCUUCACACGUAAUACAAUGGCGCGUACAGAGGGUUGCCAACCCGCAAGGGGGAGCUAAUCUCAGAAAGCGCGUCGUAGUCCGGAUCGGAGUCUGCAACUCGACUCCGUGAAGUCGGAAUCGCUAGUAAUCGCGGAUCAGCAUGUCGCGGUGAAUACGUUCCCGGGUCUUGCACACACCGCCCGUC